This is a long non-coding RNA of Haplochromis burtoni (Burton's mouthbrooder), 4299 nucleotides long. RefSeq lists it as uncharacterized. The transcript is spliced from 2 exons. The record is from RefSeq and is a predicted model, not a curated record. Lineage: Eukaryota; Metazoa; Chordata; Actinopteri; Cichliformes; Cichlidae.
GUGUGUGUGUGUGUGUGUGUGUGUGUGUUUAACACCAUCUUUGGAGUUGGUCUGAAAAUGGAUCUCUUGAAUAUUUAACCUUGCCCUGAGGCUGUGGUAUUAAUCCACAGACUCUUACAGAGAAUCUGAGUACAGCACUGAUCUGGCAGGCUGAUAUGUGCUUUAUUGUGACAUUUAAUGGGAAUAUGAUGGAUAAGAUGUAAAAACAAAGCAGGAUGACAAGUUGCACAUAAAAUUUCUGUGCAGCUUUUUGUGUGCUUUUCAGUUCAUACAUAUGCUGACAAACAGAGAAAGGGGUCUGGUAUUGGAUAAAUAGCCACAGGCACCCAAAAAGUUAUUAAAAUGAUUAAGAGGCUUACAGCCAUAAAAUGAUUAUGUGCAUGUGAACAAUUUUAAAAUGACUGCUCCAAAUGGUCCUCCAUUUUAAAAGGGAUUGCGAUCCAAAACAUGACUACACAUUAUAAUACUUUUGGUAAUUGCAGAUCUUUUCUGAACUCUUAAUGACAAAGUGUCCUGUUGUGAUCAUUUACAAAGUCCAGAAUGUUCUGAACACACUUGACUUUUGACUGGUGCCUUUUUCAUUUGUCUUAAUCAGUGUGUAGGGGUACAAAGUUCAAAAUGAGUUUUUUUUUUCUAUUAUGAAAAGGAAAUACAAAAAAAGAACCAUUUAAACAUUCAUAAACUCACAUACCAUCUAUUGAAAUGUCAGCCACAUCUGAUUUCCUUCAUGUUGAAAGAUGAGAGCGCAGUUAUGUCUGUCAUGUCCCGCCACUGUACUCAACAGCUAUUUUUCAUAUCAGAGAACAUUAACCUCUUGCUGCUUCCCCUUUUGCACAGUCAAACUAAAUUUUUAUUUGAGCUUGGAAAAUAAACUUUAACACUGUUAACAGUAGGGAUGGGACUCCAGAACCGGUUCUUGUAGAAAACUGGUGUCUGGUAGUCUAGUUUGUUUGAAUUGUUAGUCUGCCUGCGCAUCGAUCCAGCUUCUUGCGUUUGCGCUGCAGUCAGCUAAUUUCAGUUGACGUGUCAGAAGAGGGAAAUGGCGACGGAGUCUGUGGCAUGGAUAUGGACGUUUAUUUUUAUUGCAUAAAAGGAUGAGAUAAAUGGUAAAGUGCAAAUUGCAUCCAGAAAACAAACGACUGCAUUAUUCUGGUAACACAGCUUCGGUUCUUUGCAAGCAUCUGUACAGGCAGCAUGCUAACGCUAAGCUAGCCAAGAACCCUUUUUCCUUUACAUUACUUCAUUACUCGAAAUGAAGUAAAUGUACUGCAUUACUUUUAAGAAAGGUGUUCUGUGUAAUAUCUGUAAUAAUGAUGUUUUAAAGUAACAACUCCAACAGUGAUCAAAACAAAGAGGGGAAAUACCACAACAAACAUGCCAUCAUGAUCUUGGUUCGAGGGGUGGCUCAGUCUAUGAAAUCAACCAUUCAAUACCAAUACCCUUAAACAUACUAUGCUUUGUCUAAAUGAGACUGUAAUUUAUAGAAUGAACAACAAGUUAUGCUAAAGUCAGUAUUUUAGCAGUCAGUAUAAAACUAUAAAUUGAGGUCAUAUGGUAGUUUGUGUAUUGAUAAUUUUCUAUACACAAUCUUUUUGCUGUUAUACUUUGCAGACUCUAAGAAGAAUGCAGCAUCAGGGCAUAAUUUUUCAUGUCUGGAGGCUACACCCAUCUUCUAUACAAAGUAUAUGGUUUGCUUUGUAUCAGGUUGCGUUAUUUUAAAAAGCAACUUAAAAAGACAGGGUCUUUGAUUUGGUUACUUUCCUUUGGCUGUGUAGUACAUCAGCCUCGGCUUUUUCUGUUACAGAGCUGCUUUGCCAAUAGUAGACUUCAUGAAAUAAAUCCUUUGAUUUUACACUACCUGAAUUUUAAGAUGUGCUAAUUAUUGUUUACAUCAGUGAAGUGUUCUUGGGCCUGUGGCCUUGAAUGAUUGUUGGAACCUCUCCUAAUCCCAGGAUCUUCAUAAAUUGAAGUCACCUUGGCUUUGCGUAACAUUGAUUUUUCCCUUCUUUUCCCUUGUAUUUUUUUUCUGCAUCCUUUGAUUCCCCCCCCCCCCAUUUAAUUUUUCUGUUUUGCCUGCUCCUGAAAAUAGCAGGUGUGGAACACUAGCAAGCCACACUAUGACGAACGAUAGAUAACGCAGUCAUGGCAGUGAACAACAAGUCAACAUGAUCUCUCUUAGGCAGGUGAUUCUAGGUGAGGAAACCAAAAAGCAACAAUAAUUUUUAUGUCUUGACUGUAUUUGCUUCUCUUACACAUGCGAGUAACUUCCCUUAUUUACUCGCAUGUGUAUUGAUUUGCACGGCAGUGAUCCAAGUAAAAGGCAUUGUUGCUGUAUUUGAUAGAAAUAUUUUAUUUAUUUUUUUGUCAUAAUUUAAUAAACAAUAAUGUCCAUUAUCUUUGAGUAAAUAAACCCAGUUAACUAGGAAAGGUAUUUUUUGUUACAACACUAAAAAGGAUGUUGUUGGGGUGUUUGUAGGAGGGAGGAUGAGUUUGAAGGACAGACAGUUGUGGAAGAGAGGGGAAUUGACUGCACAAAGAGUAUUUUGUGGUUGUUUAACAGCUGUUUGAUGAAUUGCUACAAAUAUGUAGCAAUAUAUAUAAAUACAUUGGGAGCUAAAAUUUUGGCACUCAAUGGCAUAGCAAAGCAGAUCUAUUGUCCAUAAAAAGAAACGGCAAAAGAUCCUCAGCUUUUAGAGUCUGAAAGUGGCCAAUAAAGGACAAGAAAGAUGUGUUGUUGUUUUUUUUUAAAAAAAAAGGCAGAAUUCUAAUACCUUGUACUCAACACAGACUAGAAAGAGUCUGUUUUUAUUUUCUCUAAAGGUCUACAGAAGAUUGUGCUAUAAUAAACUUCAGACAUGGGGAAAAAAAAUGCAUGAAAUGUAGAGCCUACAAAUGGAAACAUGGAGCCAAAUCUUAUUGCAACUGUUGAAUUUCUCCGCAUGAGAAGCCCACACAUCGCUGCAGCGUAGGACUGACUUGUCUCACUCUUUUCUACAUGACUGUUGUCUAUGAAGAAAAAGCAAAGCUCGGGACUGGAAAGUGUGGGGCGCCCAUCUGUGUUCUUCACUGAGCAAACGAGGACAGACACAAAGGAGGGAUUGAAGGCCUCAGAUGGAAACAGUGAGAGAGAGUAACAACAAGAUGCUUGAUACAAUGUUGUGGCCCUUAAAGUCUGGCUAGCUGUGGGAGACAGUAACACUUCUGUCAGAAUAAGGAGGAGGGCAAAGUUGCCUGGGGCAGGCCACCAAAACAUUUGCAAUGUAGCCUGGAGAGAGAAAUCAUCUGACGCGUACUAGGGUGGUCAGAAAUGGGGAGUGGACAGAGAGAGGACUGGUGACACUGGACAGGACAAUAGGAGUAAGAUGCUUACAGCUGGCAUGGUGGGAAGCAAAUCAGGAACCCGUAGGAGAUACCAGUAAGAGUUGAACCACCUAGUCAUUAAACAAAGAAGUGUUUUGCUGUCGAAGGAUGGGUGCCUGCUGGAGUCGUGACCCCACACGGGAGAUCGGUCAAGAGCUGGUUCCUAUCAAACGUCACGCCGUCUGGCCAAGGGCAGCCAAGGUAGUCACUAACCUCGAUGACCAUGAAUUCUCCACGUGGGAUCUCACGUGUCACACAAGGAACAUGAAGUGCAUUAUAGCUCAUUAACGUCUUUGUUUCUGGAAAACAACAGUUCCCUUCGGUACAGUAUAUUGCCCUGCUGGCACAUAAUGAAACACGUUGAGUGUGGUGGUGGUUGUCAGUUUUAUGGGAUUGUAAUGUUAUACAAGAGGCAUAAAAGAAGGCACAGACGCACUGAACAAGUUGUGGGUGUGUCUACUGGCAAGCUUUAAUGUGGCUUCAAACUGACAAACAGCUGAAGAUGCACACAAUGCUGCAUGAGUGUAGUCAUAACGCAAAAGUUGUUGCUGUGUCUGGCGUGACAGUGUUUUACUGUAUGCACACAAACAGACAGAUCGUCAGCUGAAUGUUAACAUAAGAUUAAUUCAGCUUAAGGUGUGUGAGAGCUUUAGUGGGAUACUCAGCACUUUCCUUACUCUCAGUCAGCUGGUAGAUCAUAAAGAGGCCUUGGCACAAGGACAAGGCUGAGGAAACAAGGAUGACAUGGGAGGGUGAUUUGUCCUAGAGAUCAUUGACUGUAUCUUUAUUAAUCUCCCAUUGUCUUUCACAUACCUAAAUCAAGACAGAACCUGUCACCAGUUUGGCAAAAAACCAAGGAGGGUGUUGGCUAAAUCUGCUUUUCAAUGGGAAAGAAAUGCCUUCAGUUAAAAAUGGAGUUGUGCUUUACAGCGUAGCAGC